GACGAACGCUGGCGGCGUGCUUAACACAUGCAAGUCGAACGGAAAGGCCCUGCUUUUGUGGGGUGCUCGAGUGGCGAACGGGUGAGUAACACGUGAGUAACCUGCCCUUGACUUUGGGAUAACUUCAGGAAACUGGGGCUAAUACCGGAUAGGAGCUCCUGCUGCAUGGUGGGGGUUGGAAAGUUUCGGCGGUUGGGGAUGGACUCGCGGCUUAUCAGCUUGUUGGUGGGGUAGUGGCUUACCAAGGCUUUGACGGGUAGCCGGCCUGAGAGGGUGACCGGCCACAUUGGGACUGAGAUACGGCCCAGACUCCUACGGGAGGCAGCAGUGGGGAAUAUUGCACAAUGGGCGGAAGCCUGAUGCAGCAACGCCGCGUGCGGGAUGACGGCCUUCGGGUUGUAAACCGCUUUCGCCUGUGACGAAGCGUGAGUGACGGUAAUGGGUAAAGAAGCACCGGCUAACUACGUGCCAGCAGCCGCGGUGAUACGUAGGGUGCGAGCGUUGUCCGGAUUUAUUGGGCGUAAAGGGCUCGUAGGUGGUUGAUCGCGUCGGAAGUGUAAUCUUGGGGCUUAACCCUGAGCGUGCUUUCGAUACGGGUUGACUUGAGGAAGGUAGGGGAGAAUGGAAUUCCUGGUGGAGCGGUGGAAUGCGCAGAUAUCAGGAGGAACACCAGUGGCGAAGGCGGCUCUCUGGGCCUUUCCUGACGCUGAGGAGCGAAAGCGUGGGGAGCGAACAGGCUUAGAUACCCUGGUAGUCCACGCUGUAAACGGUGGGUACUAGGUGUGGGGUCCAUUCCACGGGUUCCGUGCCGUAGCUAACGCUUUAAGUACCCCGCCUGGGGAGUACGGCCGCAAGGCUAAAACUCAAAGGAAUUGACGGGGCCCCGCACAAGCGGCGGAGCAUGCGGAUUAAUUCGAUGCAACGCGUAGAACCUUACCUGGGUUUGACAUGGAUCGGGAGUGCUCAGAGAUGGGUGUGCCUCUUUUGGGGUCGGUUCACAGGUGGUGCAUGGCUGUCGUCAGCCCGUGUCGUGAGAUGUUGGGUUAAGUCCCGCAACGAGCGCAACCCUUGUUCACUGUUGCCAGCACGUUAUGGUGGGGACUCAGUGGAGACCGCCGGGGUCAACUCGGAGGAAGGUGGGGAUGACGUCAAGUCAUCAUGCCCCUUAUGUCCAGGGCUUCACGCAUGCUACAAUGGCUGGUACAGAGAGUGGCGAGCCUGUGAGGGUGAGCGAAUCUCGGAAAGCCGGUCUCAGUUCGGAUUGGGGUCUGCAACUCGACCUCAUGAAGUCGGAGUCGCUAGUAAUUGCAGAUCAGCAACGCUGCGGUGAAUACGUUCCCGGGGCU
RNAcentral lists this ribosomal RNA (1346 nucleotides) under uncultured bacterium. RNAcentral describes it as "partial 16S ribosomal RNA". It matches the Rfam family "Bacterial small subunit ribosomal RNA", at positions 28 to 1381 of the family's 1533-position model. The record is from RNAcentral.